This 301-nucleotide ribosomal RNA is filed under the name uncultured bacterium. RNAcentral's name for it is "partial 16S ribosomal RNA". It matches the Rfam family "Bacterial small subunit ribosomal RNA", at positions 509 to 807 of the family's 1533-position model. The record is from RNAcentral.
CAGCAGCCACGGGAAUACGGAGGGGGCUAGCGUUGUUCGGAAUUACUGGGCGUAAAGCGCACGUAGGCGGCUUGGUAAGUUAGAGGUGAAAGCCCGGAGCUCAACUCCGGAAUUGCCUUUAAGACUGCCGAGCUAGUAGGUGAGAGAGGUAAGUGGAAUUCCGAGUGUAGAGGUGAAAUUCGUAGAGAUUAGGAGGAACACCAGUGGCGAAGGCGGCUUUUUGGCCUGUAACUGACGCUGAGGAGCGAAAGCGUGGGGAGCGAACAGGAUUAGAUACCCCAGUAGUCCCUGUCUCUUAUAC